CGUAGGGCGCGAGCGUUGUCCGGAUUUAUUGGGCGUAAAGAGCUCGUAGGCGGCUUGUCGCGUCGACUGUGAAAACCCGCGGCUCAACUGCGGGCCUGCAGCCGAUACGGGCAGGCUAGAGUUCGGUAGGGGAGACUGGAAUUCCUGGUGUAGCGGUGAAAUGCGCAGAUAUCAGGAGGAACACCGGUGGCGAAGGCGGGUCUCUGGGCCGAUACUGACGCUGAGGAGCGAAAGCGUGGGGAGCGAACAGGAUUAGAUACCCUGGUAGUCCACGCUGUAAACGUUGGGCGCUAGGUGUGGGGGACCUCUCCGGUUCUCUGUGCCGCAGCUAACGCAUUAAGCGCCCCGCCUGGGGAGUACGGCCGCAAGGCUA
RNAcentral lists this ribosomal RNA (373 nucleotides) under uncultured organism. Its description in RNAcentral is "bacterial SSU rRNA". It matches the Rfam family "Bacterial small subunit ribosomal RNA", at positions 526 to 896 of the family's 1533-position model. The record is from RNAcentral.